GAGGAAUAUUGGUCAAUGGACGAGAGUCUGAACCAGCCAAGUAGCGUGAAGGAUGACUGCCCUAUGGGUUGUAAACUUCUUUUAUACGGGAAUAAAGUUAGCCACGUGUGGCUUUUUGUAUGUACCGUAUGAAUAAGGAUCGGCUAACUCCGUGCCAGCAGCCGCGGUAAUACGGAGGAUCCGAGCGUUAUCCGGAUUUAUUGGGUUUAAAGGGAGCGUAGGCGGGUUGUUAAGUCAGUUGUGAAAGUUUGCGGCUCAACCGUAAAAUUGCAGUUGAUACUGGCGACCUUGAGUGCAACAGAGGUAGGCGGAAUUCGUGGUGUAGCGGUGAAAUGCUUAGAUAUCACGAAGAACUCCGAUUGCGAAGGCAGCUUACUGGAUUGUAACUGACGCUGAUGCUCGAAAGUGUGGGUAUCAAACAGGAUUAGAUACCCUGGUAGUCCACACAGUAAACGAUGAAUACUCGCUGUUGGCGAUAUACGGUCAGCGGCCAAGCGAAAGCAUUAAGUAUUCCACCUGGGGAGUACGCCGGCAACGGUGAAACUCAAAGGAAUUGACGGGGGCCCGCACAAGCGGAGGAACAUGUGGUUUAAUUCGAUGAUACGCGAGGAACCUUACCCGGGCUUAAAUUGCAACUGACUGAACCGGAAACGGUUCUUUCUUCGGACAGUUGUGAAGGUGCUGCAUGGUUGUCGUCAGCUCGUGCCGUGAGGUGUCGGCUUAAGUGCCAUAACGAGCGCAACCCUUAUCGAUAGUUACUAGCAGGUCAUGCUGAGAACUCUAUUGAGACUGCCGUCGUAAGAUGUGAGGAAGGUGGGGAUGACGUCAAAUCAGCACGGCCCUUACGUCCGGGGCUACACACGUGUUACAAUGGGGGGUACAGAAGGCAGCUACACGGCGACGUGGUGCUAAUCCCGAAAGCCUCUCUCAGUUCGGAUUGGAGUCUGCAACCCGACUCCAUGAAGCUGGAUUCGCUAGUAAUCGCGCAUCAGCCACGGCGCGGUGAAUACGUUCCCG
RNAcentral lists this ribosomal RNA (1017 nucleotides) under uncultured organism. RNAcentral's name for it is "bacterial SSU rRNA". It matches the Rfam family "Bacterial small subunit ribosomal RNA", at positions 356 to 1376 of the family's 1533-position model. The record is from RNAcentral.